Molecule: long non-coding RNA, 2291 nt
Organism: Anguilla rostrata (American eel)
Lineage: Eukaryota; Metazoa; Chordata; Actinopteri; Anguilliformes; Anguillidae
Exons: 2
Source: RefSeq, a predicted model, not a curated record
AACUGAAGGACCCAGCCUGCUCGUCCCUCUUCAGCUCUACCGAUGCUGGACAGAAGGAGCAGGCGAGGGGGCCUUUGUGAAGCGCACCACUGCUCCAGGUGGGUAUCGCUCCGCUCCACUCCGCUGACACACCCCGGGCUGUGAACCGCCACAGGCGGAGGCUCUGCUGGCUUUCCUGUACACGGCCGCAGAGAGCGCUGGCUACCAGCUGCUGUGCAACAACGGCAGCAGGGGGGACGCGAGCAGCUUGGCCGCCUGCCACCUGGCCAGGGUGCCCGCCCACGCUGUCGUCAGCCGCACGGACGCUCAGCUGGAACAACCUCCGGAAGGCCAAGGUACACCUUUAAAUGACUGUAACAACCUCACACCUGCAAUCCACCCCUCGGCAGCGUGCAGUCACAGUACAAAUCCUGUGUCCCACAGUGAGAGAGAGAACCAGAGAACACGUACUAGAGCUAUGGAAGUCUCCAUAACUGGUUGAUAAUAUUUCACCUGUUCUCGUCUGAGGCUUAUUUGUCCUUAAAAUCUGUUGUUCAAAGACUCUGCCGGUGGCUUGGCUCUGCAGCCCAGAGCUAGACUCAUUCCUCUUCCAAGGAGCAGAGUACUGCUCUGUCAUCUGCUGUCAACGGAGGUGUGCAGCCAUGUGAAAGCCCUCACACACGCGCUCACUUGCAAACGUGCUUGCGUCGCUUGCGCAUGGAUAUAUGCGCAUACACAUAUAUAAAUGUGUGUAUGCACACUGAUGUACCCGCAUGCAUGCACACUGAUGCACCCGCAUUCCAACAACUCAUCAAUGGAACUACUGUAAUAACCAGAAAAGCUGGAAAAGAGGACAGUCACCUACACGUCCGUAGAUCAUCUAGCCAGGAUCCAUGUACGCUUACAGUAAUUGUGGAUUCUCACGGCAUUGUUAAAAAUGGCAUAAGUUUUUAAUGUUUUACCAGGGCUGUCAUAUUGUGUAUUUUGUCUGUUUUUUUCUUUUUCUUAAUUUUUAUAGAUCUUGGUAUAGUUUCGUAACAAACACUUAACAGUGCAUCUGAUUCAUGCUGAACAUUGCACAUUAUACUGAUGUUACUGUGAUUUCCAUGUGCAAUACAUAAAUACAAAAAUUGUAAAAUAAUGCAGAGGCAUAUAAAUUGUACUGAUAGCUCUGGAGAGCAGGUCAAUCAAAUUUAUGCAUUCUACGCAUAAAACUCCAGCCUUAACUGACCAUUUCCACACUUCUGAGAGCUGGAGUAAGCCUGCACUUCCCACACCUACCACCAGAGGGCAUAUGAGAGAUCUGUGGGACGACCUCCGUGGUGAAAACAUAUACUGAAAAACUUGAAUUUCCCUUCAACUCUGCAUCCUACUUGAAACAGAUUUGAUCAGCCACUGCUGAACUUCCAUUUGAAACUAUACCGUAGCAAAAUAUAUUUAAGUUUCAAAAUUGUCCUUGUGUUCUGUGUGUAGAAUCAUCAAAAGGAUCUCCUAUUAAAGUGCAGGACCGCCUCGCGGUUUAGGCAUGGUGCUAAUGCCCCCCAGGCUGGCGCACAAUCGGCUCCAGCGUAGCUCAGGGAUUGGAGGGAUUCAGACGGUAAGCAUCUCACUGUGCACCAGUGAAUGAAGUUGGUAGAUUGGGCGCCUGCAAGUCAACUGCAAGUGAAAACAACGGCGUAGACGAAUUUCACCACAAUAUAUUUUACUUGGAUCACGAUAUCAAUCUAGAUGUACAAGAAUGAUUUGGAUGAAUCUCUGCCAUCUUUUUGAAUACAGAACUAUUUACAAUUAAUUCAGUUUUGUCUGCAAUUUGGAAUUUAUACUUGUAUAUACUGCUGGUUAACUCAACAACUACAACAAAUUCUUACUGGAAUCUCUCAAUUUUGACUAGAAUCUCUCUAGAAUAUUGGCCUGGGGCUGAAUGACAACUCCACCCCCACCCUCCCCUCACCUCCCCUUCCCCCACAGCCAGUGACUGAGACUCCGUGGACAACUUUGUGAAUAAUCUUUGCUUUUAUAGAAGGGCAGAACAAUGUAACAACAUUCCUGUUUAAGGUCACACAUCCAAUCUAACAAGUCCAUAAUUCUGCAAUCAAACAUCUAAACACUGCAAAUGACAACAAACCUUGCACAGAUACCCAAGCUUGUUCAGUGUGCGUUUGAUGCUUAAUAAAUGUGUUCCUUAAACAAAAAAAGGCACAAUACUAGGACUUCUUAGCUUCAUGACCCUGACUUCAAAAAAGACAAAACGCUCAAAAAAAAAAAAAUUCCCAUGCCAAUAGCAGCAAGGAAUUGUACAUCACAAUAUAAAA